AACGAACGCUGGCGGCAGGCUUAACACAUGCAAGUCGAACGCCCCGCAAGGGGAGUGGCAGACGGGUGAGUAACGCGUGGGAACAUACCCUUUUCUACGGAAUAGCUCUGGGAAACUGGAAUUAAUACCGUAUACGCCUUACGGGGGAAAGAUUUAUCGGGGAAGGAUUGGCCCGCGUUGGAUUAGCUAGUUGGUGGGGUAAAGGCCUACCAAGGCGACGAUCCAUAGCUGGUCUGAGAGGAUGAUCAGCCACAUUGGGACUGAGACACGGCCCAAACUCCUACGGGAGGCAGCAGUGGGGAAUAUUGGACAAUGGGCGCAAGCCUGAUCCAGCCAUGCCGCGUGAGUGAUGAAGGCCUUAGGGUUGUAAAGCUCUUUCACCGAUGAAGAUAAUGACGGUAGUCGGAGAAGAAGCCCCGGCUAACUUCGUG
This 431-nucleotide ribosomal RNA is filed under the name uncultured bacterium. RNAcentral's name for it is "partial 16S ribosomal RNA". It matches the Rfam family "Bacterial small subunit ribosomal RNA", at positions 29 to 507 of the family's 1533-position model. The record is from RNAcentral.